This 363-nucleotide small RNA is filed under the name Arabidopsis thaliana (thale cress). Its description in RNAcentral is "ATSL170970". Lineage: Eukaryota; Viridiplantae; Streptophyta; Magnoliopsida; Brassicales; Brassicaceae. The record is from RNAcentral.
AUCAUUAUAAUUACUAGGUUGAUAGAGACACCAUUAUUCCUAUUACUAUUUCUUGCGCUAUCUCUACAACCUUCCCCAUGACGUAACCAUACAUAGUAGUUUGCUAUAAAUCCUCUAUUAUAUAAAUGCUUACUCACCAAAUUAAAAUCCAAAUAUUUAUUAUUGAGGCACUUACGACAUGGGCAGAAUAUUAUACCGUUCUCACGAGCAAAUGAUUCGUUUGUUGCUUGAUACAUGAAACUAUGCAAUCCAUCAACAAACUCUCUCGUCACAUCACUGAUCGAUGGAUCUCUAUGGUUGUACAUCCAUCUCUGCAAUGUGUAGAUUUCAUGUUCUCCUCCAAAAGACAUUUUUAAACUGUUU